CACCAUCAUACUCUCACACACACACACCAUCAUACUCUCUCACACACACCAUCAUACUCUCUCACACACCAUCAUACUCUCUCACACACACCAUCAUACUCUCACACACAUACCAUCAUACUCUCUCACACACACCAUCAUACUCUCAUACAUGGUUUACUAUACUCUGUCACAUAUACUACUAUACCCUCUUACAACUAUAAUCACACUUUCUUUUAUUUACUAUUAUACUCUCAUACACAGCACUAUUUUCUCUUGCACAUAUAACUAUAGCUACUUAAACAUGCAUUAUGUGCUUUCAUGAUAAUCUGUGUAAAAGAGAAUAGUAGUAUAUGUAUGUAAGUUUGGUAGUCUGUGUAAGGGACGUUAACACUGUAUGUAAAACAAAGAUCUACUGUAUGUGUAAGAGAAUAUUAUUAUAUGUAAGCGUAAUAAAUAGUGUAUGUGAAUGCAAAUAAUCAUGUUUAUGGAACAGAAUGAUAGUGAAUGUAAGACAGAAUGAUAGUGCAUGUGAAUAAGAAUAGUUGUAUGUGUGAGAGAGUUUGAUAGUGUGUGUGAGAGAGUUUGAUUGAUACGGAAACGAGUUUGAUUGAAACGGAAGUAAUGUUAAAUUCUCAGUACCUGAUUGGUUAAUAGAAGACGCGGGAUUUCACAGACAUGUCCCGCCUUCCUCAUUAUUACUGAUAAGAGAGGAUAGUGGACCGAGAGAGAAUCAAUGGAGCAUCGGCCUGUUAACAUUUUAAACUUUUCCACCGCUGCCACAUCCAUGUCAGAAAUGUGGAUUUAAACCCGACAGCCCGACAGGAGUCUAAACGCGGCCGCGGAGGAAGAGAUGCGGUGAAGCUUUAUAUCCGAACCAUCAGCCAGGUGCUGACCUCCAUAUCAGCCUCAACCACAGAGAGCAGAGGCUCCAGAGUCAGGGACAGUAUUGAACUUUUGAUGGCAUGAGGAAACAAACUGGUUUCACCAAAGUUGCACGAGGGCCAGAAACUAAAUGGCUUCAUGAUUGACAAUACAUUUACAUCAAAGGCAGUGUACAUUAGACAAUGACACAUUUACGUUUGUCACCACAGAUUUAGAGGACAGUGGUGUGGAGGUUGACACGACAACAGCAUCUAGUGACCACAGAAGUACCACACCAGUCAUUGUAUGACUACAAGGGCUAAGGAUACCUUAAUCCACCUGAGUGACAGAAUAUUUGCUGUUGAGACUGUUCUGAAAUAUUUGGUUUCUGCAUGCAACAAUAAAUAAGAAACAUUUGUUUGCUUGGGACAAGAUCUUUGUUAACCAGUAUAAUAGUGAUUUCCUGACCUGUCCAUAACUUGAUAAUAAAUAUCAAAAUAUUA
Trichomycterus rosablanca is the source of this 1346-nucleotide long non-coding RNA. RefSeq lists it as uncharacterized. The record is from RefSeq and is a predicted model, not a curated record. NCBI's taxonomy places the organism in Eukaryota, Metazoa, Chordata, Actinopteri, Siluriformes, Trichomycteridae. The transcript has 3 exons.